RNAcentral lists this ribosomal RNA (460 nucleotides) under uncultured bacterium. RNAcentral describes it as "partial 16S ribosomal RNA". It matches the Rfam family "Bacterial small subunit ribosomal RNA", at positions 338 to 795 of the family's 1533-position model. The record is from RNAcentral.
CCUACGGGAGGCAGCAGUGAGGAAUAUUGGUCAAUGGUCGGGAGACUGAACCAGCCAAGCCGCGUGAGGGAGGAAGGUACAGAGUAUCGUAAACCUCUUUUGUCAGGGAACAAAGGCGGGGACGUGUCCCCGGAUGAGUGUACCUGAAGAAAAAGCAUCGGCUAACUCCGUGCCAGCAGCCGCGGUAAUACGGAGGUGGCAAGCGUUAUCCGGAUUUAUUGGGUGUAAAGUGCGUGUAGGCGGGAAAGCAAGUCAGAUGUGAAAACUCAGGGCUCAACCCUGAGCCUGCAUUUGAAACUGUUUAUCUUGAGUGCUGGAGAGGCAAUCGGAAUUCCGUGUGUAGCGGUGAAAUGCGUAGAUAUGACGAAGAACCCCGAUUGCGAAGGCAGCUUGCUGCAGCGGAACUGACGCUGAUGCUCGAAAGCGCGGGUAUCGAACAGGAUUAGAUACCCGGGUAGUC